GGUCUCGAGACGCAGUCAGGCUCAAGGGUCUAAACUGCGCAUCGGGACCAUCCUCGGGAAGAGCAUGUCUGUCAUUGAGUUGAUGGGCAUGGGACUCCCGUCUUUUACUGUGAGCAAAAUAGGGUGUUCAAAGCAGGCUUACGCCGUUGAAUACAUUAGCAUGGAAUAAUAAGAUAGGACCUUGGUCUAUUUUGUUGGUUAUACUCCAAGGUA
This 213-nucleotide ribosomal RNA is filed under the name uncultured fungus. RNAcentral's name for it is "partial small subunit ribosomal RNA". The record is from RNAcentral. Lineage: Eukaryota; Fungi.